RNAcentral lists this ribosomal RNA (497 nucleotides) under uncultured bacterium. RNAcentral describes it as "partial 16S ribosomal RNA". It matches the Rfam family "Bacterial small subunit ribosomal RNA", at positions 28 to 507 of the family's 1533-position model. The record is from RNAcentral.
GAUGAACGCUGGCGGCGUGCCUAAUACAUGCAAGUCGAGCGAACGGACGAGAAGCUUGCUUCUCUGAUGUUAGCGGCGGACGGGUGAGUAACACGUGGAUAACCUACCUAUAAGACUGGGAUAACUUCGGGAAACCGGAGCUAAUACCGGAUAAUAUUUUGAACCGCAUGGUUCAAAAGUGAAAGACGGUCUUGCUGUCACUUAUAGAUGGAUCCACGCUGCAUUAGCUAGUUGGUAAGGUAACGGCUUACCAAGGCAACGAUGCAUAGCCGACCUGAGAGGGUGAUCGGCCACACUGGAACUGAGACACGGUCCAGACUCCUACGGGAGGCAGCAGUAGGGAAUCUUCCGCAAUGGGCGAAAGCCUGACGGAGCAACGCCGCGUGAGUGAUGAAGGUCUUCGGAUCGUAAAACUCUGUUAUUAGGGAAGAACAUAUGUGCAAGUAACUGUGCACAUCUUGACGGUACCUAAUCAGAAAGCCACGGCUAACUACGUG